GGAGGAAAAGAAACCAACAGGGAUUCCCUUAGUAACGGCGAGUGAACAGGGAAUAGUCCAGCGCCGAAUUUCACGUUCUUUACGGACGUUUGAAAAAUGUGGCGUUCAGGAGGUCACGUGCCGAGGUUGGGCUCUGCAGCAAGUCCCCCUGACCGGGGCUGUUACCCAGAGUGGGUGCGAGGCCCAUAGCUGCUAAGUCUGCUUCGGAUGUGACCUCUUGGGAGUCAGGUUGCUUGGGAGUGCAACCCCAAUUGGGUGGUAAACUCCACCUAAGACUAAAUACGGCCGUGAGACCGAUAGCAAACAAGUACCGUGAGGGAAAGUUGCAAAGAACUUUGAAGAGAGAGUUCAAGAGUACGUGAAACUGCUCAGAGGCAAACAGGUGGGCCCUCGAAAUCCUCCGGCAGGGGGAUUCAGUUAGGAAAAGCUGAGGUGAUGUGUGGUUGUCUUAACGGACCCUCUCUGGGGACGGGCUACCAUCACGGUCUUGGCUUGACCUGACGCAUUUCCCCCUGCACAAGGACGCCGCAUCCGGUUGGGUAGCUGCGUGAGUCGGCCAUAAGAACAAGCAAGGAAGGUGGCCGGUGGUAUUGCUUCAGCUCUGCCGCCGGUUGUUAGACAGUUUGUUCGUGGCGCGACACCCGACUGAGGUUAAGUUGUUCCCUUAUGGGAACUAGCCGUCCCCUUCAACUCGGAGCGGAUGCUUCAGCAAGUGUUUCACGGUGUCGCUUCCUCACUCUUGUAGUGUGUGGUGCUCCGUGUUCCCUGGUGGCUGAAAGCUACCCGCGGGGGUACAUACGGCUAGCGGCGAGU
This 813-nucleotide ribosomal RNA is filed under the name Opopaea sp. MR688. RNAcentral describes it as "eukaryotic LSU rRNA". It matches the Rfam family "Eukaryotic large subunit ribosomal RNA", at positions 52 to 637 of the family's 3401-position model. The record is from RNAcentral. Lineage: Eukaryota; Metazoa; Arthropoda; Arachnida; Araneae; Oonopidae.